AUGAGGGCCUUAUUCUGGAAUAUUAGAGGGUUCGGUGCUAGGGGGCGCCGUGACCAACUGAAAGAUUUGGUUCGUUCUAACCCUAUUGACUUUGUGGGGCUGGUUGAAACGUUUAAGGAUUCCUUUACCCCCAGUGAGCUUUCUGCUAUCGUGGGUAUGGAUAGAUUUCAGUGGCAAUCUUUACCGGCUUCGGGCCACUCUGGUGGGAUUCUGAUCGGUUCUAAUAAGGAUAUUUUUGACUUUGUUGCUUUUGAUCAUGGGUUUUAUUGGGCUAGUGUUGUUAUCUCGCAUAGAUCUAUGAAUGCCCUCUGUGAAUUUAUAGUUGUUUAUGGGCCUGCGGAUCACUCCUUUUCGCACCUUUUCCUUGAUGAACUUUCGAUCAAGCUUGAGUCCUGUUCUCUCCCGACGGUGAUUGGGGGAGACUUUAAUCUUCUG
This 435-nucleotide ribosomal RNA is filed under the name Triticum aestivum (bread wheat). RNAcentral describes it as "partial small subunit ribosomal RNA". Lineage: Eukaryota; Viridiplantae; Streptophyta; Magnoliopsida; Poales; Poaceae. The record is from RNAcentral.